RNAcentral lists this ribosomal RNA (253 nucleotides) under uncultured Clostridium sp. RNAcentral's name for it is "partial 16S ribosomal RNA". It matches the Rfam family "Bacterial small subunit ribosomal RNA", at positions 524 to 776 of the family's 1533-position model. The record is from RNAcentral. Lineage: Bacteria; Bacillati; Bacillota; Clostridia; Eubacteriales; Clostridiaceae.
UACGUAGGGGGGCUAGCGUUAUCCGGAAUUACUGGGCGUAAAGGGUGCGUAGGUGGUUUCUUAAGUCAGAGGUGAAAGGCUACGGCUCAACCGUAGUAAGCCUUUGAAACUGAGAAACUUGAGUGCAGGAGAGGAGAGUAGAAUUCCUAGUGUAGCGGUGAAAUGCGUAGAUAUUAGGAGGAAUACCAGUUGCGAAGGCGGCUUCCUGGUCUGUAACUGACACUGAGGCGCGAAAGCGUGGGGAGCAAACAGG